RNAcentral lists this transfer RNA (65 nucleotides) under Figulus binodulus. RNAcentral's name for it is "tRNA-Leu". Lineage: Eukaryota; Metazoa; Arthropoda; Insecta; Coleoptera; Lucanidae. The record is from RNAcentral.
UCUAAUAUGGCAGAUUAGUGCAAUGGAAUUAAGCCCCAUUUAUAAAGCCAUAGCUUUUUUUAGAA